This is a long non-coding RNA of Equus caballus (horse), 773 nucleotides long. RefSeq lists it as uncharacterized. The record is from RefSeq and is a predicted model, not a curated record. NCBI's taxonomy places the organism in Eukaryota, Metazoa, Chordata, Mammalia, Perissodactyla, Equidae.
UGCAGUGACCCAGUUCCACCCUAAGCCUCACCUGCUCCAUAGAACCUCAGAAAGGAUGUAUAAAAGCCAACAAAAUGUAUGUCAUUAGCCUUCUGAGAAGGUGGUGGAGAGAAACCCAAGGUCUGGGGGAGUGAAGAGUGAACGGCCCCCAAUCCAGUCAAGGGGAGACAGGCGUUUUCCCAGGAGAACUGCUAUGAAGUACAAUGAUUAGUCCUGCUUCACAGAUGAGGGAGCAAAGGCACAGCAGGUCAGGGAACUUGACCCCACCCAACAAAACAAAACCCACAGCUAAGAAAGGGAGAGCUGAGAUGCGCGCUGACCCAAAGCUCCGCAUCUGGACCACCGUGUGAACUGCCUCUGGGUGCAGCGAGCAGAACUAAAGUCAUUCUUGGUUCCUUCUCAAAAUGAGAUCAUUCUCCAACUUCCCGAAAAGGAUACAGCCAAAGAGAACGACAACUUGUUUUCAUUCAGGAGGAGAUGGAUGCCUGGCAAACCAUGAAUCCUGCCUCAGAAUGUCUCUCUGCAACCAUCAAGGGAACCGUGUGGAUCAAGACCCUAGGAUGGUGACUGGCAAAUAUGGGGACUCAGCAAACAGGGCAUGUGUGCACGUGCAGACACACACUCCGGCAGACCUGAUGGCACUAAGGGCCUGUCAUUGCAGUUCCUAAAAGACCCAAUCUCAUUGGGGGUGCUUGUACCCUCAAGCUCUCAAACAAGGUUGUCAGAGAAAAAAUAUAUUGUUCCACACUGAGGAUGCUGAAUGAAUGAAUGAA